This 869-nucleotide long non-coding RNA is filed under the name Mustela putorius furo (domestic ferret). RNAcentral describes it as "lncRNA (ENSMPUG00000031241.1)". The record is from RNAcentral. Lineage: Eukaryota; Metazoa; Chordata; Mammalia; Carnivora; Mustelidae.
CUCGAGAAUGAACCCUGAAGUGAACUGUGGAUGUUGGUGAUUACAAUGUGUCAAUGUGGGUUCAUCAUGCAUAACCCAUGUGCCACACUGGUGUCAUAUCUUCAGCAGCAAUACCAGAAGCAGACAAGAACAUCAUGGCAUUGGACGCAGAACUGUCAACGAUUACAGGCUAUUCCACCAACUUUGCUUCCCUGCAGGCCACUGCUGGAGUACCCUUGAGCUAUACGAGCAACCCAAGCUAUCCCUGGGUAGGCCAUCUUGCCUUGCCAAGGUGAAGCGUUGCAUGUGAGCAAGGCACCAGCUUUGAUGCCGUGGAUACACUGGUUCUCCUCCUGAGCUGUUAUUAGAACACAACUUUGGGUAAAUUUUAACUGCCUUGGUUUCCUCACCUGCAAAUGAAGAUACUAAUACUUUGUAGAAUUGCUGUCAGAAUAGGAAAUAAAUAACUGGCACAAAAUAAACAAUCAAUGGCGUUAAUUAUUAUUACUUUUACAUGCAGACAUUGGUUAAGAAGAGCAAACUCAAAGUUUCCAGGUGUGUCACUCAAUAUAAGAAAAAAGGCCACUUAUUCAAUAAAUAUUAGUUCAUUAAAUUUAUAUUUAUACUAUAACUUACACUACUAUGAAUUAGGCCUGCAUGGAGCUUAGCUCCCAGAGAAAACUGAUUUUAUUGCAGGACUUGAGCCCAGCUGGUUUUUUUUUUUUUUUUUUUUAAAUACAGAUAAUUUCUGCACUAUGAAAUUAAUAUAUUUCAUCAUGGUAAACUUCAUUAUCUAUCAUUUUUCUUGCUUUGCAUACUUAAAAGUAGACUAUAACAUGUAAGGAAAGGAAAAUGAGUUAAACAUUUAUAAUAUAGUAUUUAUAUGCAAA